RNAcentral lists this ribosomal RNA (468 nucleotides) under uncultured bacterium. Its description in RNAcentral is "bacterial SSU rRNA". It matches the Rfam family "Bacterial small subunit ribosomal RNA", at positions 917 to 1382 of the family's 1533-position model. The record is from RNAcentral.
GGGCCCGCACAAGCGGUGGAGCAUGUGGUUCAAUUCGAAGCAACGCGAAGAACCUUACCAGCCCUUGACAUCCCGGUCGCGGGAACGAGAGAUCGAUCCCUUCAGUUCGGCUGGACCGGAGACAGGUGCUGCAUGGCUGUCGUCAGCUCGUGUCGUGAGAUGUUGGGUUAAGUCCCGCAACGAGCGCAACCCUCGCCCUUAGUUGCCAUCAUUCAGUUGGGCCCUCUAAGGGGACUGCCGGUGAUAAGCCGCGAGGAAGGUGGGGAUGACGUCAAGUCCUCAUGGCCCUUACGGGCUGGGCUACACACGUGCUACAAUGGCGGUGACAGUGGGAUGCAACGGGGUAACCCCGCGCAAAUCUCAAAAAGCCGUCUCAGUUCGGAUUGUGCUCUGCAACUCGAGCACAUGAAGUUGGAAUCGCUAGUAAUCGCAGAUCAGCACGCUGCGGUGAAUACGUUCCCGGGCCUU